RNAcentral lists this ribosomal RNA (468 nucleotides) under uncultured bacterium. Its description in RNAcentral is "partial 16S ribosomal RNA". It matches the Rfam family "Bacterial small subunit ribosomal RNA", at positions 28 to 507 of the family's 1533-position model. The record is from RNAcentral.
GACGAACGCUGGCGGCGUGCUUAACACAUGCAAGUCGAACGGAAAGGCCCUGCUUUUGUGGGGUGCUCGAGUGGCGAACUGGUGAGUAACACUUGAGUAACCUGCCCUUGACUUUUGGAUAACUUCAUGAAACUUGGUCUAAUACCGGAUAUGAGCUCCUGCUUCUUGGUGGGGGUUGGAAAGUUUCGGCGGUUGGGGAUGGACUCGCGGCUUAUCAGCUUGUUGGUGGGGUAGUGGCUUACCAAGGCUUUGACGGGUAGCCGGCCUGAGAGGGUGACCGGGAACAUUGGGACUGGGAAACGGCCCAGACGCAUAAGGGAGGCAGAAGUAGGGAAUAAUAAAAAAUGGGAGGAGGCGAAAUGCAGCAACGACGAGUGCGGGAUGACGAACAUCGGGUUAUAAAACGCUAUCGCCUGUGACGAAGAGUGAAAGAAGGUAAUGGGUAGAGAAGGAACGGCUAAAUACGUG